Long non-coding RNA from Vigna unguiculata (cowpea), 498 nucleotides. RefSeq lists it as uncharacterized. Lineage: Eukaryota; Viridiplantae; Streptophyta; Magnoliopsida; Fabales; Fabaceae. The record is from RefSeq and is a predicted model, not a curated record.
AAUAAAAGCAAUUGUAAGUUUCAAAGGUACAAACAGAGCAUACAUAUACAACUUUUGAAGAAGAUGGCUUCAUGUUUUGAUUUUUUUCUUUCUCUGAAAUUUGGCAAAAUGGCAAAGCGUCUCGUUCGGUGGACCGGUAAUGAUAAGUCUCAAGCUUUGCCUCAGCCAUCAAAAUCUCAAGUUAGAAUUUUGACGCGAGACCAACCAGGAGGAUUUAAUUAUUGAUCGUAACAUGCAGCAGAUGCAGAUGCAGCACACAGUAACUGUGACAGAUUAAUUAUUCUGUGAUGAAUUUAUUAGAGUUCUGUUACUUAAGGUUUAGCUUCUUCUUUCUUAAGUUUUAGUUUCUAUAUUUUGCAGAAGAUUUAGCUCGUUAACUAUUGAAGUGAUGGAGUUGUAUCUUCUGUUUUAGCUUCUGAUGUACAAUAGUUGUAAUUGAAUUGGUGAAGCAAUAAAAAGUUACCUAUAUUAUGGUCAUCUGUGAUGGCAAGUCUUAAA